RNAcentral lists this microRNA (21 nucleotides) under Populus trichocarpa (black cottonwood). Its description in RNAcentral is "ptc-miR6427-3p". The record is from miRBase by way of RNAcentral. RNAcentral also lists the same sequence under 1 other name. Lineage: Eukaryota; Viridiplantae; Streptophyta; Magnoliopsida; Malpighiales; Salicaceae.
GUGGGAAUGAACAUUAUGAGA